This 253-nucleotide ribosomal RNA is filed under the name uncultured bacterium. RNAcentral describes it as "partial 16S ribosomal RNA". It matches the Rfam family "Bacterial small subunit ribosomal RNA", at positions 524 to 776 of the family's 1533-position model. The record is from RNAcentral.
UACGGGGGGGGCAAGCGUUGUUCGGAAUUACUGGGCGUAAAGGGCUCGUAGGCGGCCAACUAAGUCAGACGUGAAAUCCCUCGGCUUAACCGGGGAACUGCGUCUGAUACUGGUUGGCUUGAGUUUGGGAGAGGGAUGCGGAAUUCCAGGUGUAGCGGUGAAAUGCGUAGAUAUCUGGAGGAACACCGGUGGCGAAGGCGGCAUCCUGGACCAAUACUGACGCUGAGGAGCGAAAGCCAGGGGAGCAAACGGG